Molecule: long non-coding RNA, 307 nt
Filed under: Gossypium barbadense (sea-island cotton)
Lineage: Eukaryota; Viridiplantae; Streptophyta; Magnoliopsida; Malvales; Malvaceae
Description: long non-coding RNA (GBAR_LNC006337)
Source: RNAcentral
CUAGCUUUUAAUUUACUAUAAAACACGGAAGGAACAAACAAGGUAAGCUAUAAAGCUUAGUAAGUUCGUAUGAUAUAAACUUAUCUAAUCACAAAUAUAUCAUUCAAUAAUUUAAGCAUAAUAACAUGUAACUCUUAAUUACUAACAAACCUUUCACCUUCAUGUUCAUAUGUUAUAUGUAAACUUCAUGACUUCUUCAGUUUAAAAUACAUAUACAUACACAAUAUGCCGUUGAAUACUUGAUAUUUCGCACACUAAGUGCCAUACCAAAUGUCUCGCACACUAAGUGUCAUAUUCAAUGUCUCGC